Long non-coding RNA from Humulus lupulus (European hop), 722 nucleotides. RefSeq lists it as uncharacterized. The record is from RefSeq and is a predicted model, not a curated record. The transcript has 2 exons. NCBI's taxonomy places the organism in Eukaryota, Viridiplantae, Streptophyta, Magnoliopsida, Rosales, Cannabaceae.
UUUUGCUACUAGCUUUUGGUAUAUUUCUUGACUGGAUUUUGGUGCAUUUUGCAACCGGUUUGAAUGGAUUAAUAUGAUUAAUUUGGUCAAUUCUAAAUUGAUUGCUAUUUUUGGGCUUAAAAUUGAGUUUUGCUUUUGUAGGUUUUUGAAAUAUGGGAACUAGCAAAACGGAAGUAAAUUUAAGAAGAUUACUUGCUGCUGCACCUAAACAGCAGAACCAAGGAAAGCUUGUUCAUGUAUUCUUUUUCAACUCUCAACUUCUGUAGUUUUUGUUUUUGGUAAUGGGUGUGUGAUUAAAUGGGUUUAAGUUUGGAAUUAGCAUCAUUUUUUGUCCCUUUUUUCUAUCGUUAGCCAAUCUUUUUGCGGUUUCUGUAACUCAACUAAGUUAAAUUUUAUUUAUUGUAUUUCUGGAUAGGCUUUUGGGCCAUAGCAAUAUCUAAUAGAGCAAAAAUGUGCGUUUGUAUAAAGGAAGUUGAAGAGCUAUGGAAGCAGGUCUAUAUUGAGAUGCAUUUCUUUGGCGCAAUACUAGACAACAUUGACAGUUGAAGUUUUUAGAAUAAAAAAUAUAUUUCACUAACAUUGGAUACAUUUAUUUUUUAUUAUUUGGUGAUGAUAAAAUUUGAUUGUAGUAUAAACUAUCAUGUAAUAUGAUUUUGUAAGCCGAGUAGACUAAAUACUGAAAUUAUAUUUUUGAGUAAUUAAUAAAAAAUUAUUUUGUUGUA